Molecule: ribosomal RNA, 253 nt
Filed under: uncultured bacterium
Lineage: Bacteria
Description: partial 16S ribosomal RNA
Rfam family: Bacterial small subunit ribosomal RNA
Source: RNAcentral
UACAGAGGGGGCAAGCGUUGUUCGGAAUUACUGGGCGUAAAGGGCGCGUAGGCGGCCUUGUCAGUCAGGCGUGAAAGCCCCGGGCUCAACCUGGGAACGGCGCUUGGGACGGCGAGGCUGGAGUUCGGGAGAGGAGAGUGGAAUUCCCAGUGUAGAGGUGAAAUUCGUAGAUAUUCGCAAGAACACCAGUGGCGAAGGCGGCUCACUGGCCCGGUACUGACGCUGAGGUGCGAAAGCGUGGGGAGCAAACAGG